UAGAGGGGCACCCCGGGUUUGUGGUUCCCCCGGGGGGGGGGGGGGGGAGAACAAUAAUUGAUGCCCUCGGCCGUCCUUUCCCAAAACGACGGAUUCUGUGACGAUUCUGUGAUUUUUCUGCUUUGCCUGCGCGUGCUUUUGCAACAUCAUACAGCAGCCACGCCACCGUUUAAUAUAAAUAUUUGAUAGUCGUGCACCCGCAGCCUUUCCUCGCCGUGAAAGCCCAGCACGCUGUUUUGGGUCUGGUUUGGGGUUUUUUUCGGACAAGAAGACAUGGAAUCCGGCAGGUGCAGAAGAGAUGUCCUCCGAAAAGAGCCGGGUUACUCUUUUCCCUCCUUGAGACACGAGAGAGAACCAAAAUUCCACGAAAGAGAUCUGGGAAAUCAGUUACGGGAGCACACCGACGUGGCGGAGGCUCGGCUAAUGAACUACAGAAAUAACACACACACAAAAAAAAAAAAAAAAAAAAAAAAAAAAAAAAAAAAANNNNNNNNNNAUCCAAUCAAACGUAACCUCCAACUUCUGGGGAACGCGUCUUCUUCCUGCCAACCCACCCACCGCGAUCACAGCUCCUCACCGCCAUUCCUGCUCGGGAAAACUACUGCCUUUCGUUGCCCCCCAAAAAAUGGAAGUGCCUCCCACGAAAGCAAGACUGGGAAGAAACUGUUCUUCAGAAGUUAUCUGGAGGAAAACACCUUAUAAAACUUGAUCUUUGGCUGCAAUAUUAUUCUUACUUAUUUAUUUUUAAGUUUCCAAAGAAACGUGCACUUUCCUUCUUCUCUAGGAAAAGGUAGCCAUUGCUCUUCUUUAGACUGGACAUUUCUAAUUUGUUCCGUCUGUCAGAAUGGGACUGUGAGACGUUUUUGGUGCAAAUUCAUUAUCUCUGGCAACGCACAACGCAUAGUAGGAACUGAAAAAGACCGUGGCAAUGGAUGAACAAUAGGGCUUCAGUUCAUCAGCAACAAAAGCGUUGGGGAAAUUGGUUGAAUUUCAGAGCACGUCCUCCUCAGCAGAGAGGGCUGGACUAGACCUUGGCCAACCCCCCCACCACCCCCCCCAAAAAACAAACUUGCAGAGCCUCACAUGCAACACUUCACUUUUUAGUCCUGGAAGCGUAGGAAGCAAUAUGGAAAAAGAAGGAGGAAAAAA
RNAcentral lists this long non-coding RNA (1149 nucleotides) under Calidris pugnax (ruff). Its description in RNAcentral is "lncRNA (ENSCPUG00000018925.1)". Lineage: Eukaryota; Metazoa; Chordata; Aves; Charadriiformes; Scolopacidae. The record is from RNAcentral.